GACGAACGCUGGCGGCGUGCUUAACACAUGCAAGUCGAACGGAAAGGCCCUGCUUUUGUGGGGUGCUCGAGUGGCGAACGGGUGAGUAACACGUGAGUAACCUGCCCUUGACUUUGGGAUAACUUCAGGAAACUGGGGCUAAUACCGGAUAGGAGCUCCUGCUGCAUGGUGGGGGUUGGAAAGUUUCGGCGGUUGGGGAUGGACUCGCGGCUUAUCAGCUUGUUGGUGGGGUAGUGGCUUACCAAGGCUUUGACGGGUAGCCGGCCUGAGAGGGUGACCGGCCACAUUGGGACUGAGAUACGGCCCAGACUCCUACGGGAGGCAGCAGUGGAGAAUAUUGCACAAUGGGCGGAAGCCUGAUGCAGCAACGCCGCGUGCGGGAUGACGGCCUUCGGGUUGUAAACCGCUUUCGCCUGUGACGAAGCGUGAGUGACGGUAAUAGGUAAAGAAGCACCGGCUAACUACGUG
RNAcentral lists this ribosomal RNA (468 nucleotides) under uncultured bacterium. Its description in RNAcentral is "partial 16S ribosomal RNA". It matches the Rfam family "Bacterial small subunit ribosomal RNA", at positions 28 to 507 of the family's 1533-position model. The record is from RNAcentral.